GCUCUCGUCUUCUCAGCUUAAUAUAAAACCAACCACACACCAUCUACAUUGCCCUUUCCUUUCAGUUUCGUCUCUCACUGCUCUCAUUCAACAAUAAUGGCGGCGGCUGCGGCGGCUCCAUCUCCCUCUUUCUCCAAAACCCUAUCGUCCUCCUCCUCCAAAUCCUCCACCCUCCUCCCUAGAUCCACCUUCCCUUUCCCCCACCACCCCCACAAAACCACCCCACCACCCCUCCACCUCACCCCCACCCACAUUCACAGCCAACGCCGUCGUUUCACCAUCUCCAAUGUCAUUUCCACUACCCAAAAAGUUUCCGAGACCCAAAAAGCCGAAACUUUCGUUUCCCGUUUUGCCCCUGACGAACCCAGAAAGGGUUCCGACGUUCUCGUGGAGGCCCUCGAAAGAGAAGGGGUUACGGACGUUUUUGCGUACCCAGGCGGCGCUUCCAUGGAGAUUCACCAAGCUU
This 466-nucleotide long non-coding RNA is filed under the name Nicotiana tabacum (common tobacco). RNAcentral describes it as "long non-coding RNA (NTAB_LNC014792)". Lineage: Eukaryota; Viridiplantae; Streptophyta; Magnoliopsida; Solanales; Solanaceae. The record is from RNAcentral.